AUUUUUUUGUAGAUAUGUUUCUCCAUUCACUAACAUGGAAAUUUCUAUAUAAAGGAUCUGACUGCUGAAUCAGAGCAAGGUCAGGUAGCUACUCAAGAUAUCUGCAGAGGUUUCUUCUGAUUCUGGAGCUUUACAGGAAGAUAAAGUUGGCAAAGGGAAGGAUGAUGAAGAAAAUGAUGCUGAAAGAAGAGGAGAAAAUGAGAAGGAUAAAGUUAAAGGUCUUGGAAGAACAAAACUUGAUGCUUUGCUACAGAGGCUUCCAAGCUGUGUGAGCCGUGACUUGAUUGAUCGGUUGACUGUAGAGUUUUGUUAUUUAAACUAAAAGGCCAACAGGAAAAAGCUUGUGAGGGCUUUGUUCAAUGUUCCUAGGACAUCUCUUGAGCUAUUGCCGUACUAUUCACGAAUGGUCGCCACACUGUCAACUUGAUAAAAUGAACAUCGAAAUGAAGAUCAGGAACAUACGUUUUAUUGGAGAACUUUGGAAAUUUAAAAUUGCAUCAGUGGGCCUUGUGUUAUCGGUUGUCUAAAGGCUUGUUUAGAUGAUUUUACUCAUCAUAAUAUUGAUGUUGCUUGCAAACUUCUUGAGACGUGGUCGCUUCCUCUAUCAGUCUCCUGAGACUACUGUACGCAUUUCUAACAUGUUAGAGUUAUUGAUGCGCUUGAAAAAUGUCAAAAAUUUGGAUCCUCGUCAGAGCACUUUAGUGGAGAAUGCUUAUUACUUGUGCGAACCACCAGAAAGAUCAGCCCUGGUCUCUAAAGUUCGUCCUCCACUGCAUCAGUACAUUAGGAAACUUCUUUUUUCGGAUCUUGAUAAUUCUACGAUUGAGCACGUGCUGAGACAGUUAUGUAAACUACCUUGGACUGAAUGUGAACCAUACAUUUUGAAGUGUUUCUUGAAGGUUCAUAAGGGAAAAUAUGGUCAGAUUCA
Molecule: long non-coding RNA, 928 nt
Organism: Olea europaea var. sylvestris
Lineage: Eukaryota; Viridiplantae; Streptophyta; Magnoliopsida; Lamiales; Oleaceae
Exons: 5
Source: RefSeq, a predicted model, not a curated record